CAAUAGCGUAUAUUAAAGUUGUUGCAGUUAAAAAGCUCGUAGUUGGAUUUCUGGUGGGAGCGAUCGGUCUGGCGCUUAGCGCGAGUACUUGCAUCGUCUCCGGCCAUCCUUGGGGAGAGUCUGUCUGGCAUUAGGUUGUCGGGCAGAGGAUCCUCAUCGUGUACUGUGAAAAAAUUAGAGUGUUCAAAGCAGGCUUAUGCCGUUGAAUAUAUUAGCAUGGAAUAAUAAGAUAGGACUUUGGUACUAUUUUGUUGGUUUGCGCACCAAAGUAAUGAUUAAUAGGGACAGUUGGGGGUAUUCGUAUUCCGUUGUCAGAGGUGAAAUUCUUGGAUUUACGGAAGACGAACUACUGCGAAAGCAUUUACCAAGGAUGUUUUCAUUAA
This 383-nucleotide ribosomal RNA is filed under the name uncultured eukaryote. Its description in RNAcentral is "partial 18S ribosomal RNA". It matches the Rfam family "Eukaryotic small subunit ribosomal RNA", at positions 592 to 976 of the family's 1831-position model. The record is from RNAcentral.